AUUGAACGCUGGCGGAAUGCUUUACACAUGCAAGUCGAACGGCAGCACGGGGCAACCUGGUGGCGAGUGGCGAACGGGUGAGUAAUACAUCGGAACGUGCCCAAUCGUGGGGGAUAACGUAGCGAAAGUUACGCUAAUACCGCAUACGAUCUACGGAUGAAAGCGGGGGAUCGCAAGACCUCGCGCGAAUGGAGCGGCCGAUGUCAGAUUAGGUAGUUGGUGGGGUAAAGGCUCACCAAGCCAACGAUCUGUAGCUGGUCUGAGAGGACGACCAGCCACACUGGAACUGAGACACGGUCCAGACUCCUACGGGAGGCAGCAGUGGGGAAUUUUGGACAAUGGGCGCAAGCCUGAUCCAGCCAUUCCGCGUGCAGGAUGAAGGCCUCGGUUGUAACUGCUUUGUACGGUACGAACGGACGAGCUCUAAUACAGUUGCUAAUGACGGUACCGUAAGAAUAAGCACCGGCUAACUACGUGCCAGCAGCCGCGGUAAACG
This 496-nucleotide ribosomal RNA is filed under the name uncultured bacterium. Its description in RNAcentral is "bacterial SSU rRNA". It matches the Rfam family "Bacterial small subunit ribosomal RNA", at positions 30 to 527 of the family's 1533-position model. The record is from RNAcentral.